Molecule: non-coding RNA, 29 nt
Filed under: Mus musculus (house mouse)
Lineage: Eukaryota; Metazoa; Chordata; Mammalia; Rodentia; Muridae
Source: RNAcentral
CUGAAUUUCAAAAUAAUACAGAAUGGUUA